UACGUAGGAUCCAAGCGUUGUCCGGAUUUACUGGGUAUAAAGGGUGCGUAGGCGGCCUUGUGCGUCAGAGGUGAAAUCUCCGGGCUUAACCCGGAGGGUGCCUUUGAUACGGCAGGGCUUGAGUGCGAGAGAGGAUGAUGGAAUUCCUGGUGUAGCGGUGAAAUGCGUAGAUAUCAGGAGGAACACCGGUGGCGAAGGCGGUCAUCUGGCUCGAAACUGACGCUGAGGCACGAAAGCGUGGGGAUCAAACAGG
RNAcentral lists this ribosomal RNA (253 nucleotides) under uncultured bacterium. RNAcentral's name for it is "partial 16S ribosomal RNA". It matches the Rfam family "Bacterial small subunit ribosomal RNA", at positions 524 to 776 of the family's 1533-position model. The record is from RNAcentral.